Molecule: unclassified non-coding RNA, 18 nt
Filed under: Mus musculus (house mouse)
Lineage: Eukaryota; Metazoa; Chordata; Mammalia; Rodentia; Muridae
Description: oocyte_clustered_small_RNA1597
Source: RNAcentral
CGGGACCCAUAAGAGGAG